Pygocentrus nattereri (red-bellied piranha) is the source of this 2558-nucleotide long non-coding RNA. The record is from Ensembl. NCBI's taxonomy places the organism in Eukaryota, Metazoa, Chordata, Actinopteri, Characiformes, Serrasalmidae.
ACAAAGACGCAGAGGGGAAAGUAUGCGAAGGAGCGCAAAGAAGAAACUGGAAAUUAAGAUCGCUGAAUUGGAGGCAAUCCUGGCAAAGGAGAGAGCAAAAGCGCAGAAAUACAAAAAGAGAGAUAUCAGAGGGCUAAGAAAGAAGGAGCUUCCACUACGUCACCACGUACAGCUGUAAAAGCUUUGUUGGGCCGUCAGAAGGUGAGGUCUCCUGUCAAAAAGGCUCUACUUUUUCAUGCUGCUUUAGUGGAAGAUAUCCGAUCCAAAUACAAAAAAUCAAAAGCAAAUAAGGAAAAGCAGCUGAUCGCUAAAGUUGUCACUGGAAACAUAGUGAAAAGGUACAAGCUCCAAAGCUAUGCCAGGUCAGCUUUUGGGUACUCGAAGAAGAGAGCCAUACAUCCUCCUGACAAUCUCACCUACAACGGUAGAAGAAGAAGUGUCCAUCAAAUGCAGUUAAGAAACAACAUUACUUUUAUUAUCUUUUUUCCUGCGAGAUGACGUCAGCCGAAUGACAACCAGUCGCAAGCAAACCAUUACACUGCGCAAGAAGAAGAUGCAGAAGAGGUUGUUAACUGACACAAGAAAAAAAUUGUACCAGAAAUUUUUGUCUGAGAACCUUGGAAAUGUGUUUUACACCACAUUUUGCAGCUGCAAACCAUUUUGGGUGGUAAGCCCUUCCCCCUCUGACCGGGAUUCAUGUUUAUGCAAGAAACAUGAGAACUUGCUAUUCAUGAUGGAUGCUUUACAGAGCUGCGGGUUGCUGCAUCACCGAGAUAUUGAACAACUGGCUCAGGAAACCAUGUGUGAUUCCAAAGCGAAGGCCUGUGCGUAUGGGGAGUGCAGGGAAUGCCUUUAUACAUGUCAGCCAAUGCUGCGACAUCCUGGACAAGAUGGUGUCACUUUUUGCCAAUGGACAACUGAGAAAAUAGAGAGAGAUGACAAAAGCUCCACAAUUACAGUCAAGAAGGUGUUGGAAAUGUCAGAGGAUGAACUAAGCACACAGUUCCACAACAGCCUUUUCCAUUUCAGGCGCCAUAUUUUUAACAUCAAAUGGCAGUAUGACGUUUACCGUAAGAUUAGAAACAACCUCAGGAGCACUGAGUGUCUCAUACAUAUUGACUUCAGUGAAAACUACUCCUGCAAAUACCACAAGGAAAUACAGUCUGUGCAUUUUGGGGGCUCACACCAACAGGCCAGUCUGCACACUGGAGUGUUAUAUGUUGCAGGUGAUCAAGCACCACAGAGCUUUUGUACAAUCUCACCCUCCAGGAGACAUGACCCAGUGGCCAUCUGGGCCCACCUCGACCCCAUUCUGAACCAAGUGAGAGAGCAACAUCCUGAUGUCUGCACACUCCAUUUUUUUAGUGAUGCUCCAGCGACACAGUACCGUCAAAAGGGGAAUUUUUUCCACCUCUCUACCGAACCCUUCAAGUAUGGAUUCAAGCAAAUUUCCUGGCACUUUUUUGAAGCCAGCCAUGGGAAGGGGGCUCCAGAUGGGGUAGGGGGGGCCCUCAAGAGAACAGCCGACAAAAUUGUCGCCCAUGGAGAAGACAUUCCGAAUGCACAGACAUUGUAUGAGAAACUAAAAGGUCAAGAAAACUGUUCAAUUGACCUGCACUUCAUUCCAGAGUCAGACAUUGAGGCAAAGCCCGAGGCACUACAAGAAUCCACCAAGCCAUCAGCAUGAAACCUGGCGAAAUGAUGUACAGAGACAUUUCAUGUCUCUGUAAAUGGGAGGAAGGCACCCUGGAUUGUUCAUGUUUCAACCUUCAAAAAGUGUCCCUGCUGGCAUCUGAUCAGUCAAAAGUACAUGUGAAGGAACCAAUUAAAAGUUGGAGGCCAGAAGUCAUCGAAGAGAAGCACAUUGGUGAAUGGUGUGUAGUCAACUACGACAAUGAUGGAUACCCUGGUAUCAUUCUCGAUGUAGAGGAGCACAGCGUGAAAGUUAAAUGCAUGCACAACAAAGGAAUCAACAAAUUCUGUUGGCCAAGUCCUCGUGAUGACAUCAACUGGUAUGGGGAUUGGCAGAUUCUGUGCCUCAUGCCGGAACCACAACUUGUUAACAGGCAUGCUUUCUCAGUUGAGCCAUCUGUUUGGAAGUACAUGGAGGACCAAUUACAGUAGACCUAGAUACGUGUCCUAAUGUUCUGUUGAGUAGGCCUACGCUAGAUGUUUUUUGAUGUUCUGUUUUGAUGUUCUGUUGAGAAGCAUAUGUGUUCUGAUGUUGGUGUAUGAAUUAACUGAGUACAGUUUGUACCUAACUCAUCCUUUUUAAUGUUUUUCUGUACUUAAUGAAUUGCAUUUGUCCACCCUGUCAUGUAAUUUUCCACCCUAUCGUGCCGAUGUCCACCCUGUCAAAUUUAAGUUUAAUGAAAAAAACUAAAUAUGUAUUGAAUAUAAAGUAACCCUGUGUGUGAUUUCCUGAUGUCCAAAUGAUGACCAAACAAAACCAUUAAAAAGUUUUGCUAGUUACAUUUGUUUUUGUCAUUUUAUUUUAAAAACAAUGAAGACCUAUGGCCAUCGCUGUAGAUGAGCUGUAAUUUUUUUCUAAUUUUAGU